GAUAAGAACGUAGCGAAAUGCGAUACGUAAUGUGAAUUGCAGAAUUCAGUGAAUCAUCGAAUCUUUGAACGCAUAUUGCGCUCUCUGGUAUUCCGGAGAGCAUGCUUGUUUGAGUAUCAGUAAACACCUCAACUCCCUUUUCUUUUUUGAAAUGGGAGCUGGACUUGAGUGAUCCCAACACUUUUCUCACUGGAAAGUGGCGGGUCACUUGAAAUGCAGGUGCAGCUGGACUUUUCUCUGAGCUAUAAGCAUAUCUAUUUAGUCUGCCUAAAAAACAGAUUAUUACCUUUGCUGCAGCUAACAUAAAGGAGAUGAGUUCUUGUGCUGACUGAUGCAGGAUUCACAGAGACAGCUUUGCGGCUGACUUUGUAAACUCGAUCUCAAAUCAAGUAAGACUACCCGCUGAACUUAAGCAUAUCAAUAAGCGGAGGA
Molecule: unclassified non-coding RNA, 432 nt
Filed under: soil metagenome
Description: partial contains 5.8S ribosomal RNA, internal transcribed spacer 2, and large subunit ribosomal RNA
Rfam family: 5.8S ribosomal RNA (bases 4-119)
Source: RNAcentral